This 1117-nucleotide long non-coding RNA is filed under the name Pandoravirus quercus. Its description in RNAcentral is "hypothetical ncRNA". The record is from RNAcentral.
GCACGAUCUGAAAGAGGGCCAUGCUCUGCAGCCGACGCAGUGGAAAGAGGCGACACGAUAGAAACAGUUGAACCUAGAUCUUGGUGAACAUCGCUACGACGGCGCGCGGUCCACAUGACCGAACCGUCGAGCGCGCGCGUUGCCGCAUACACGCAGACGCCGUCGAGUGUGGCAAAGGGCGUCGCGUCCGUCCGCUUGGUCGCCAUACUGGUCGCGGUGUCAAAUGAGGACAGCGAUGUGGCAACGUCGGCCGCGUCCAAAAGGGACGUGGCAGAUUCGGCAUAGCGCUGGACGGCACGCACCGGAGAGGGCCGCGGCGGCGCGCUCGCGGCAAUGCACGUCAAACACGCCGGCCGACUCCAUAGCGGACGGUGCAGGGCAAUGGCGUGCACGACACUGCCGGCCACCAUACGGUCGAGCGCGGUGAUGAGACGCCGUGCCGCUUGAUACUCGAAUGUCUCUUCGAUCGAGGCCAGGCGCAGGCGCAGCGAACCCUCGACGUCGGUCGCAUCGAGCGUGUCACAAUCAAUGACGCCCGCCGACGUCUGGCACAUGGGACCGCAAUCACAGGGGUCGCUCGAAUGGCUGGGUAUGCCAUGGGUCGAUACGGUCACGUGCGGCCACGAUGCCACGGCGCGGACGCCAUCCAGAUAGAGCGCCGCCAGCGCGGGCGGCACCGAGUACCGCUUUUGGUACUGCUGUUGUGCCUGCUUUUGUCGGUGUGAGUCGUCCGCCGACGUCGUGGCCAUGCGCCGCGCCACGGCACGCCCAGGCAUCGGCCGCGGCUUGGCAAUGGCUGGACGCACACCAAGAGGGUCGCUGACAGCGCAUCGCAGUGCCGUCGUGCGACCGGCGGCGCCCGUGGUCACAAAUGUUGUGAGCACGUCGCGGUACUGUUCAGGCGACCCAAGCGGACCAUCGCUGGUGGUGAGAUCGCACACGACGACGCUCGGUGCGCCGCGGGCCGGCAGAGGCGAUGCCCGCGCGCGCACAAGGGACGGCAUAGCCGCGUGCGGUUGCGACAAGGGGUGCGCCGUUGCGACAAAUGGAGCGGGGUCUGCAUUUGUUGUUUUUGUUUUCACCACAAUAACAACAAUGACAAACAAGAACAGGAAAG